AUGCUUGCUUAGGCAGCACAUAUACUAAAAAUUGGAAUGAUACAGAGAAGAUUAGCGUGGCUCAUGCGCAAGGAUGACACGCAAAUUCGUGAAGUGUUCCCUAUUUUU
This 108-nucleotide small nuclear RNA is filed under the name Notamacropus eugenii (tammar wallaby). Lineage: Eukaryota; Metazoa; Chordata; Mammalia; Diprotodontia; Macropodidae. The record is from RNAcentral.